GACGUAAGAAAGCAGCAGAAUAGCCACUUUCCGCCACAACAAGCCGUUACAGUGUGAGGUGCAAUGGGCUCCGAUUGCGCUGACUGAACUCUGAAGGUUGAGAGAGUUCAGUGGGGGCAAGGAUCAAAUAUGAAGUGAAAAAAUAAUAAUAGGGCAAGCAUAAAGCAUUUAGAAAGAUGAGGAUGGCAAUUGCUCCCAACAAAACAAUGUAAAUCCACCACUUGAGAAAAAAGCACGGAAUAGAUAUCUUGGAUUCACUGAGGUAACUCUUUUGCUUCCAAGUUAUUUAGAUCCACACAAGGAAAAUAUGUUUUAGCCAUAGAGACUAGUUUUAUUAAUUUAUGAACAUCUACUGCUGGUUUUAUACAGUUCUCUCUUUCUCUUAAGCCUUAUGAAAUGUUAGAUUAAUUGCAAUAGUUGAGAAUCCCCACAAAGUGGAACUCUCAGCCUUGAUAAGGAUUUGGUUUUUAUGUGUGCUUACUGAUGGUCGCCGUCCUAUUAAAUUUUUCACAUUUCACAUAGUAUGUCAUUUUUAGGAGACUGACAAAUUGCAAGCGGGAGAAUGAAUCAACUAACUUCCUGAUUAGUAUUUUCCGCAUAUGGGAAUGAAUAUGCAGUGUCAACUAUCCUUUUCCUUUAUGACUUGACUUCUACUAUUUGUAAAGACAAAUGUAUGUUAUGGUGAUUGAUAAAGUUGUGUUGUUUCUCAAAUCUCAUUUGUGCAUACUAUGUAUGCAAAGAUAUAUUUACAUAUUCACAUGGGGUAUGUACUUAAUGAAACAAAAAUUCAUCAAUACUAACAUAGCCAGAUCCAAGAUUUAAAAUUUAUGGGUUCUUACCAUUUUAAAAAUAAUACGAAAGAGAAGAGAAAAUAAAGGUCGACAUUUUUUUGUUGAAAAUAGAAUGCACUUAUAGUGCUCCAGGGGAAUUGAACUGUCAUCAAAGAGCUUCGAGCUUUGCUGCUACUUUUAGUAAUGGGUUCCCAAGUAACAGUUUCUUAUAUAUUUAACGGAUUCUCAAUAAAAUACAGGGUUUGGACAAAAGUUGCUGGGUUUCUGGCAAUCCACAUAGUAUACACUGCUUCCGCCCCUGAAUACUGAUUGUAGUGGAGCCCCUUAUUUGAAUAAGAAAUGACUGCUACAACCCUUGUGAAUAUGUGUUAACUGCUAACUAAAAUCAAUGUUCAUCAAUGAGUGCAUGCUCAAAGAAUACAAUGUAUGAUGGAUGUGCAGUUAUACAAGAGUAGACAAGAUUAGAAGUGAUCACGUUGGCAUGAAGGUUCAAGUAAGGCAUCAAUGAUAAAUUAGAGAAGAUCGCUUGAAUUGAUUUGGUCGUGACCCACGUCAACCACAAAAUGUGUAAGUCCAUAGAUGUGAAACCAUGGUGAAUAAAGGUAAUAAAAGAGGAUGAAGUUUUCUCUAAGUAAAUACAAUCUCUUGGGAUCCAUGCAGAUCUAGUGAAACAUAAGGUGCAAUGGAAGAAAAAGAUCUGUAUAGGUGAUACCUUAGUUGAGAAUAUGUUUUAAUGAUGUUGGCAAUUUUACUUUACGUCCUCUGCUUUUCUAAUAGGUAGUAUUAUUAUUACUUUGAAUAAUAUUGGUUUGCGAUGAGUUUAUAUAGAGUAACAUGGUCAGUAAGGAUUCAUAUAGCAAACCCAACUUGUUUGAGUCUGAGGUACGACUGUUAUUGUAUUUAUUGGUCUAUUUGCUAAUUUGAUAAUGGUGAUUGAAACAACAUAAUCAUCCUAAAGUUCUAUCUGCAUCACCAUGUUAUGUGUGAAAUCUCUUGAACAACAAAAAAAACCAAGAAUAUAUACGUUAAUUUCAACAGAGUGGCAUCAAGAUCUAUGUUGUCGUGGUGCAUUUGAGGCGGAAGUUACAGAUAGCCUUUCCUUGGGUUACAUUGUAUCGUAUCAUCUCAUAUGUGGGAAACACUACUUGUCUCAGCGGAGAGGAGAUGACCUGGAAUUCCUAGGGUAAAUAUUUUGUUCGAUUGACUUCCAUAAUCGAGUUAGAUAACUACUUUUUCUUUUCGACUUGAAGGAGUUAUGUAAGUCUUUGAAUAUGCAGAGUUUGUCAAGAUAAUAUUUGAAUGCUUCAUGACAUUUGCUCCUUGUAAAUAACCUGAUCAUCUAGGGACAAUUUGGAGUCUCCUGCAUCAGCUUAUCGUCAUUCCAUCUGAUGCUUAGUUCAAACUUUCCUGUAGAUAGUUAUCAGGCAAUCAUGUUUUUAUCAACUAAACCGAAAAACAAAUAAUUGAUUUGCAUAAUGUUGCUUGGUCAUGGUUAACUGAUCAAUACAUGAUAUAUUUUUUUAGCUUUCUUUCUUGUUUUAAUUCUUUUGCCCCAUGUGGAUGAUGUAGACUUGCUAUUAUGUUUGCUUGUGUAGUACUUAAAUCAUUUUUCUCCUUUGGUUGGUUUGAGUGGAAUAAGCUUAGGAAGGAUAUGACAUAUUUGUUCCUCUUCUAUGUAAUGACUCUAUACUCUAGUUUCUAGUGAUAUGCACUAAUUAAAGUUUGACUUGAUGAUUAGACAUUUUUUUGUUGAGAAUAUGGAACAUAUAGAAAAGCUUGAAAGCAAAGCUUACAUGUAUUUGAUCAAUAUUCUAGCUAUGCUUAACAUCAUUUCAACUAGGUAGAACCUAGCCUAAGUAUUUUAGAUUGUUUAUUUUUUGGAUUCUUUUGUUGAUUAAUAGUAUUGUAUCUUACAUUUACUUUGAAACUUAAAAGAGUUUAAGGCUGAUUUGGGACCACCAUGAAAAUACUUUAAGAAUAUCUUUUCAAAGCUUUUUUGACCACUUAAACCUCAAAACUCUGAUUCUUUUUUCCUUUCACUGAAAGGCCAUCCUGAUGGAGAGUGACCAUACCACUUUUUCUCCAGAGGAUAGGUUUCCCAAGGAGCUCCAAUUAAAUUCGGAUCACGCACUGCAUGUUCCAUUUGGUGGUGAUUUUUCUCUGUACUCAGGAAUCGAAUAUGAGAUCUCUGGUUAAUGGUGGAAUAGUCCCACCACUGCACCACAAUAGGGUCAGAGGUAGAUUUUUCAUUUAUCGUUGAAAACAAUAAUUUGAUCUUACAAGAGUAUUUUUGUGGAUUAGAAUUUGAAUUGAAAGGCACUACAUAAAUCCAUCAGAAAAUGACAAGUACUAAAGGGGAAGAUUGAGGGGGGAGGGAUGAGUUUUCUUUUUCUUUCUUUUUGAGUUCUAAAGUUGAAAUGAUUAGAAGAUUCCUACCUUUUUCUUAGUCCAAAUCAAUGCAUCAUUUUUUUGCUCAAAGCUUUAUAUCAUCAAUGAGUUUUUAGAGGCUGUGUUUUGUGUUUAUCAUUUCAGUAGUGGGUGAAGCUGUUGGAUUAAACUUUUUCUUUAUAGAAAAGAGAAUUGGAGUGAUUUUCUAAGAAUUGACCAAGGUUAUCUCAACAUCACUAAAUCUUGAACCAUUCAUAGAGUAGUGAACAAAUUGAAUGAUAGAUAUUGACAACCUCGAAAAAGAUUGAGAACAAACAUUAAAGUAUCAACUUUUAUUUACACUUGUCGCCAACUAAGGGGAAAAUUAAGAGUCUCGUAUACGAGGCAAUCCAAAGGUAAUCCAGAAUCUAGACUCAACGACGUAAACUUAUUCUAUAUAUAUAUAUUGAUCGCCCGGUUCACCUUUUCGAUUUUGAGUAUUUAUCUCUUUUUCACUUCAUUUUCAUUAUUUUUGGCCUUCCACAAACUUAAAACGUGACAAAUUCCAUCUGAUUUAGCUUAAGUAUAUACUAAAAACUACAAAAGCAUAAGUAAAUGACGCUGGAUAAGUGAUAAAAUCACCACUUUAUCACCUUGCCCCACCCAAAAAAAUAAUCAAAUUGUAACCCAUUGAUUAGGUGAAUUGAUGUUCUAUCUCACAGAUGUCAUUAAGAAGGAGCAUAAAAAUUGGCCCUUUUAAUUUUUUGAAGGUAUACUUAGUACAUGGGAAGAUUGGGUAGACUAAAAUAAAAUAGUUGAUUGGACCUUUAAUGUGUUUGUGUUAGCUAAGUAGUCAUGAAUCAAAAUAAUAUCAACCAAAGUGUGGUGUGACACUAGUUUUUUUUUCUUUAAACAUCAGUGGCACUUAUCUUUAUGGAUUGAUUCUACCACAAUACAUCACAUUUUACCAUUUUGUGUCAGUUCAAUUGAUUUAACUUGGUAAGUAAUAUCUACCAGCCAAUUUCUAGGUUUUAUUUUACACUAAUCCUAUCAAAGUUCCUCACUUGCUUAACUUGGAAAGUGUAGUUAAGCUUUCCUCUCAAAUUAUUGCUAUCAAAGUGAAAUACAAAAUAGAAAAGGGAAAUUCGCGAUGUAUGUAGAUGGUCUAUUUAAGUAUAUAAGUUGAGGAAAGGUUCAUCUAUAUCAUUCGUUAAUAUUUUAGCUUAUUUAUAUUAUUUUUAUUUGAGAAAAGACUAAUCCAUGUAAUUGGUUUUUAACAAAAAACAAUUUUUAUUUUGCAAAAUUAUUUUCUAUAUGUGGUCAUAACUGAUCCAGCGACGUCAUUAAUUAAAUCUUUUUAAAAAGGGGAAAAAGAUUCAAAUAUGUCAUCAAACUUUGAAAGAAGGCUCAUAUAGUCAUCCGAUAAGAAUUUUGUUCAAUUAUGUCAUUUCAGUUAACAAAUAAAGGCAUAAAUGAGCUUAAUUUCCAAACGAAAUGACAUAGAUGACCAAAGUUUUUCACACAUGGCAUAUAUGAGCGUUAUUUGCGUCUUUUUCUUUUGAUAAAUCUUGGGCAAUCCUGUCUCUGUCAGUUAGUUUUUGUGGUUGAGCUAGCCUCUAAAUUCAUUUCAUUUCAUAAUAUCAAAACAAGAUUCCUCUAAAUGUUGCUUACCAUUGGUGAACCUUCAGAUUAAAUUAUCCACACACCAGAUGUUCAAUUCCGAGCAUGAGAAGACUACCCCACCCCACCAACUGCCAUGUUCGGUAGAAAAGAAGCUCUUCUCCGGGUUAUGCUCGUUUAAAUUUGGAAGCUUAUUAACGAUCAUCAAUCAGAUCUUAAAAUUAGUACAACUUGUAGAUAUUCCAAAAAGAACAAAAUGCAAAUGGGAAUUACAAAUUGUGCUUUCAAGUUUGACCACUUUUUCCUAAAUUCUGCACCUACGAAGUGGCUAUAGUUUAAGUGCAAAUAUUACCUUAACAAUGUCAGAAUCACACUCACAAAUGAAAAAAAAAAAAAAAGUAGCAAACUUUAAGAAGUGUUAAAUUAGGUCAUGCAUAGAAAUAACAAUAGGGCUUCUAGAUCAAUUAACUUUGUUGACAUAAUUGACCACUUUCUUUCCACAACUAAUCAUUUUAAGACACCACAAGUAUUCAUGUAUUCGGACGUAAACAUGUUUUUUAAAGUCUUAGGAAAUCAUUAGGGGAAACUAUCAUAAAAUAAAUAAAAAGUAGAUUGAUAAAAACAUACAAAGAAACAAAAACAAAAAACACACAUAGACACACAUAAUAUUAAUGCUUACCUUAUGAGUUGGCCUUUUGUCUUCUCAUUCUUUAUCAUGUGAUGUUUGUUAACAUCUUGGUUAGAGCCUUUUGCUUGUCAAACCUACUCAUGUGACUAGAAUAUGAGUGAAUAACCUUACACAAAUCUUGACAAAGCUAAAAUUUUGAGUUUAUUAUUUAAAAUUCUAAGGUUAUUUACUGAAUUUUGAAUAUAUUAUUUAUUUAUAUUAAGUAUAAAAUAUAGAGUUUGGAUCAAAGUUACUGAAAUUGUUGGACUGAUAGAUAAAUUUGUAGCUUCGUCACUCCAUACAGGGCAAAGAUAAAAGGCCAGGAGCGUAAAGGGUUCACUCAAAUUUCCUUCAAUGAAAAAUUUUAUAAUAUUUAUAAGGUCAAAAGUAUUUCUUUGACCUACUUUGUAUAUUUACUUUUUUUAUAUUUUGAAUAUCGCUAUAAAAAUUUCUGAUUUUGUCACUGAGCAGCGUAACCUCUUACUUUUCAGAUGGGGGUGGAGAGGUCUUCAAAUAAG
RNAcentral lists this long non-coding RNA (5963 nucleotides) under Solanum lycopersicum (tomato). RNAcentral describes it as "partial TCONS_00071667". Lineage: Eukaryota; Viridiplantae; Streptophyta; Magnoliopsida; Solanales; Solanaceae. The record is from RNAcentral.